GAUGAACGCUGGCGGCGUGCCUAAUACAUGCAAGUCGAGCGAAUGGACUAAGAGCUUGCUCUUAUGAAGUUAGCGGCGGACGGGUGAGUAACACGUGGGUAACCUGCCCAUACGACUGGGAUAACUCCGGGAAACAGGGGCUAAGACCGGAUAACAUUUUGAACCGCAUGGUUCGAAAUUGAAAGGCGACUUCGGCUGUCACUUAUGGAUGGACCCGCGUCACAUUAGCUAGUUGGUGAGGUAACGGCUCACCAAGGCAACGAUGCGUAGCCGACCUGAGAGGGUGAUCGGCCACACUGGGACUGAGACACGGCCCAGACUCCUACGGGAGGCAGCAGUAGGGAAUCUUCCGCAAUGGACGAAAGUCUGACGGAGCAACGCCGCGUGAGUGAUGAAGGCUUUCGGGUCGUAAAACUCUGUUGUUAGGGAAGAACAAGUGCUAGUUGAAUAAGCUGGCACCUUGACGGUACCUAACCAGAAAGCCACGGCUAACUACGUGCCAGCCGCCGCAGUAA
Molecule: ribosomal RNA, 515 nt
Filed under: uncultured bacterium
Lineage: Bacteria
Description: partial 16S ribosomal RNA
Rfam family: Bacterial small subunit ribosomal RNA
Source: RNAcentral